Molecule: long non-coding RNA, 1109 nt
Organism: Entelurus aequoreus (snake pipefish)
Lineage: Eukaryota; Metazoa; Chordata; Actinopteri; Syngnathiformes; Syngnathidae
Exons: 5
Source: RefSeq, a predicted model, not a curated record
GGCGGAGAGUAGAAGAGAGAUGGAGGGGCGCCGGCUGGACAGCGACACAAGCAGACAGUCUGUUGAGAAUGUUGCCAUGAAUAUUGCUUGUUUAGAAGAUAGCAAAAUGCCCCCACUGAAAACAGAGUAAAACAGCAGCAGGACUUACAUAUUCUAGAAAGAGUAACGUCAGCGAACAUCACAGCUAGAGGCAGGCAGUCAAAGUGAAGGAGAGACAGGAGCAAGCUGGCAGGGCGUUUAGACAGCAUGGAGACUCUGAAGUCAAUAGGCAGAGGACAGAGCCAUAUCAGCUACAUCCAACAUUCAUUGACGCUCUUUUGAAGUUUCCAAGAAAACUGGGGCGAUCCAUGCUGGUGGGUUCUCAUAAGAGGGCAGGAACACCACUGGAAGAUGGUCGUCAUCAUAGCGUAUCUUCUGGUCCAUUACCACUGCACAAAAUAGAUGGAUAAAGAUUUAUUAAAAAAGUGUCAUUCUUCUCACAUGUUGAGUUAUGACUUGUGACUUGACGACACAACAUAGCUACCUUGCACAAUACUAAUUAUUAACAAAACUUGCCAAGCCCAGUUUUUUUAGCGUUUGUAUUACAUUUUCAGUGUGAAAACAAUGAUUAAUAUGCACUAAACGAAGCUUCUAUACGUCGAAUGAACUCAAUGUAAUGUAAAUAUGUAAUCAUGAGGCUAGCUCGUGCUAAGCUAAGUUACCCACUGCUACAUCGUACACUAUUUUGAAUUAUUCCCCAAACAGCCCACAACAUGUUGCGUGACAAUCUAUGAGGCUAUUGUUAGCAAUGAUAGCACAGUAUGCUAUGUAUUAGGCAUAUAAAAUGAAGGUAAUAAACAAAACAUCAGCAUUAUGUACAGUAUACGUCGAACAAUACAUGAUGUAUACCAAACUUGUUUUCAUGGAGGGCCACAUAGCAGUCAUGGCUGCCCUCAAAGGGCCACUUCUAACAGUGAUUGUAAGAACAUAAAAGUAUAAUCGCCUCAUUAUAUUAUUGCCUAUGCAUUUGGUUAUUUGAUUUUUGUACGUGCAAAUUGAUGGAUAACUUGCUUUGAAAUCGUAAGUCAAAUCCAUCCAUUUUCUACCGCUUAUUCCCUUUGGGGGCGCUG